This 484-nucleotide ribosomal RNA is filed under the name uncultured bacterium. RNAcentral's name for it is "partial 16S ribosomal RNA". It matches the Rfam family "Bacterial small subunit ribosomal RNA", at positions 30 to 507 of the family's 1533-position model. The record is from RNAcentral.
AUUGAACGCUGGCGGAAUGCUUUACACAUGCAAGUCGAGCGGCAGCACGGGGGCAACCCUGGUGGCGAGCGGCGAACGGGUGAGUAAUACAUCGGUACAUGCCCAGUCGUGGGGGAUAACACUUCGAAAGAAGUGCUAAUACCGCAUACGUCCUGAGGGGGAAAGCGGGGGAUCGCAAGACCUCGCGCGAUUGGAGUGGCCGAUGUCAGAUUAGCUAGUUGGUGGGGUAAAGGCCUACCAAGGCAACGAUCUGUAGCUGGUCUGAGAGGAUGAUCAGCCACACUGGGACUGAGACACGGCCCAGACUCCUACGGGAGGCAGCAGUGGGGAAUUUUGGACGAUGGGGGCAACCCUGAUCCAGCCAUUCCGCGUGAGUGAAGAAGGCCUUCGGGUUGUAAAGCUCUUUCGGCAGGAACGAAACGGUGAGCUCUAACAUAGCUUGCUAAUGACGGUACCUGAAGAAGAAGCACCGGCUAACUACGUG